RNAcentral lists this long non-coding RNA (13813 nucleotides) under Homo sapiens (human). RNAcentral's name for it is "HSALNT0379232". The stretch from base 12961 to 13082 matches the Rfam family "Maternally expressed 8 exon 2". Lineage: Eukaryota; Metazoa; Chordata; Mammalia; Primates; Hominidae. The record is from RNAcentral.
AGAGGGUUCUAUCAUUUCGUCGGAUGGAAAGGAGUGUAUUCUGAAGAUUGGUAAGGUUGUGAUGGCGUCCAGUCAGUAGCUGGGACCGUGGAGAUCAGAACCUGGUGGUGGAAGGGGAGUGUGGGGAGUAAAGGCAGUAGUUUAGGAUCUUGUGAAGUGGCAGUAUCAGGGUCUCAAGGACAAAUCAGAUGCCCAACUAAUCAGAGCAGAGAGAAAUGGGGGAAAGCCUUCUUGUAUCGAGCCAGCCUCUUUGGCUGGUCACUUGGGGUGCCCCCAGGGAGGGAAGAUCUGUCAACCCCUGACCUGCCUCCCAGGCUUAUUCAGUCUGCCUGUCCUGUCCUUUUCCUCCAUAGAUGUGAGAAAUUCACAGCCCAUAAAUUCUGUGGCUGGGAGCAGCCACCGUGGCAGGCGGGUACCUGGCAGGGUGCACAGGCUGCUCCAUUCCCCCCUGGCACAUGCACCUGGUCAAUCCUCUUUUCCUGCUUUGGUCACCUGAGAAUCACAGAGGUCACAUCUCAGCACCAUCCAAAGCCACCCCUGGCAGGCUCAGGGCUCUGGAGCAAGCCCAGCCACCUUGGUUGUGGAGCGGGAAUCUCUAGCAAAGAUGCCUACUGUUUCACCAGUGCAGUGGAAGAGGAGAAAAUGGGCACUUGGCCACUGUCCCGUCAGUUGGGUCAGCAGCCCAAAAUAGUUCUUAUUUCCUUCCCCAUGUUCAAAAUAGAAAUUUCAGGGGGUGUGUACAGGUCUGGGUUUUUUUUUUUUUUUUCCAUAAAUUUUAUAACAUACCUACUAUGUGCUGGAUAACUGCAUAUUUGUUACUUGAUUCUAACUCAGACUUUUGGCCAAUUUCUCUUUCUCGAUUUGGUCUCCUUCCAAUGCUAUGUUCUCCCGACCUCUGAGCUGUUGAGGAGAUCUUCAAAUAAUCUCCUUCUCUUCCUACAAUCUCCACUCUCCCAGGACUGCCCUCUUUGUGAGGCUUCUGGAACUUCACACAUCUGGCCUCAAUUUCACCAGUGCAAGCAUAUCUGCACGCCUCUCCAAUCUUAUCCUCCCAGGUCCCCUUCUUAACGCCAGUGGGUCUGGUCUCCUCUUUCUAGCAAAUAUCUUUUUCUCUCUGUUGCUGGUUGAGCCCUCCCAACAGACAUGUAUCUGGCAGAGUUGGGACAUUGAGUGUGGGGGUUGGGGGGAACAUGUGACAUCUUUGGAAUCUGACGGUCCCAGAGUGGAUUUUUGGAAAUCUAGUGUUGGGUGGUUUUAGUGGGCUGAGACAGAAUUGAAAGGGAAUGUCUUGGUUGGGGUUAUUUGCACAUUUCUUCUCUGCUGGGGCAGAGCAAAUUAAGCUUUGAUUAUCUGAUAGAUUAACUGUAAAGCUACUGCUCUUUAUAAAUUUAACACCUUUUGUUACUUCUGAGUUUUCUUCUAAGCCACUGGACCCAUCCGUAAAAAAAAAAAAAAAAACUGCGUUCCCCCUUACGUGAAACUCAUUGGCUAAAAUCCAAGCUUUCCAACAGGAUACAAAAUUCAGAUCUGCUGUUUCUCAAAAUUAAGUACACCCUUGUUAGCAUGACACUUAAAUUUGAUCAUGCAGUCUCUCUGAUUAAAGCCUUCCACUGUUUAUUUACUGUCUGCAAUAUUAAAUCCAAACCUUCUAGCGUAAACAUAUCUGACAUGUAAACUCACCAAAACUAUUCUCUGGUUAAAAUGUAAGGGCCUUAAUAUAAUAUAAAAUUCUUAUUUUGUCAUUCCUCAAGGUAGAGAUCACAUUUUUUUAAAGCACAGUAUACAAAUCAGCAUGGUAUAGGAAUUAUAAGAAUCAUCAUCAUCAUCAUCAUGAUGUACAUAGCACAUUGCAGAAAUUAACUCAUUUCCUCUCCAUAAAAGUCCUCUGAGAUAUGCAUUAUUACUGUAAAAUUCCAAACCUCUAAUAUAAAAUUCUAAUUGAAAUACAAAUAAAUAAUUCUAAUUGAAAUACAAAAACUAAGUAAUUCAUCUGCAGACUUAUCUAUCAGGAAUAAAAAUCUCAGCAUGUCUCUCACUUAAAACUCUUUAUUGGUGAAAAUUUAAAUUUCUUAGCAAGACGAUUUAAAAACUAGAUUAUGCCCCCUCUUAAUAUAAAGUCUACACUGCUUAACAUAUUUACAAAUUCGACCAUGUGAAUGAUUAAAUCCUUCAAUGUUCCUGCCUUCAGCUCAAAAUCUAAUAUCCUCGGCAUGUUAGAAAAAUCUUAAUACUUCUUAACAUCAAAGUUUAAACUGUUAGCAAGAUGAAUAAAGGUCAUCUCAUAAUUUCUCUAUUUAACACAUAUAAAAAUUCAUUUUUAUUGCCUGUAAAGUUUCAACCACUUAGCAUAAAAUGAAAAUUUUCACCGUGUAAUUUACUUGCCAACUGAUUAAUACGAACCCCCAAAUCUCAUCAGGUCACUCCUAAAACCCUUUAUUGGCUUAAUUCCAAACCUCUUCGCAUGAUAUAAAAUUCUGACCAUGUCAUUCCUCAAAAUAAAAAGGUCACUCUCCCUUGCAAGAUACACGAAUUUGCUCUUAUAACUUCUGCUUAAAGCUUUAUUCUAUCUCUUAAUUACCUAUGAGAUAAGGUCUAAUUAUUUUUAGCAUAGAACAAUACAUUUUACUAUAAAAUUUCUCUGACUACUCUACCCAAGACAAAAUUUCUGCCAUGUUACUGCCUUAAAAAUCUCUUAAUGAGCCAGGCACGGUGACUCACAGCUGUAAUCCCAGCACUUUGGGAGGCCAAGGCAGGUGGAACACUUGAGGUCAAGGGUUCUAGGUCAGCCUGGCCAACAUGGUGAAAUCCUGUUUCUACUAAAAAUACAAAAAUUAGCCGGGAGUAGUGGCUCAUGCCCGUAAUCCUAGCUACUUCUCCUAGGCUGAGGCGGGAGAAUCGCUUGAACCUUGGAGGUUGCAGUGAGCCGAGAUUGCGCCGCUGCACUCCAGCUUGGGCAACAGAGGGAGAUUCCCUCUCAAAAAAAAAACAAGACUCUUAAUGGCUGAAGUCCAAAUUCCUUAGCAUGGCAUAAAAAUGUAAUUCUGUCAUCCCUCAAAAUAGUGUCCAAACUUCUUAGCAUGCUAUGUAAAUUUAAUCAUAUAACUUCUUUUUAUAAAAACAUGCUUUGUCUAUAAAUGACCCGUCUCCUCAGCAUGGAGCCCAGCCUGGGUGCCCUUGUGCCCAGGGGAUACCUCUGCUCACGAGUGGUCUGAUGCUUAUUCAUUAUCUGGUUCAGCAAAUCCAGAUACCUUAACUUAAAAUAUGUUUACAAUCCAGUUUCUCUGGAGACAAAACCCUCAUCAAUUUACUUCUUAAAACGCUUUACUGGCUGACAUCCGAACGCCUCUGCAUGAGAUUUCAACAAUGAGCUCAAUGAGCUCAUCCCCCACCCCUUCCAAACACAGCACUUGAAUGCCUUCAACUCUUUUGUAAAAUCACAUCUCCUUAGCAUGUGAGCAAAAUCUGAUCAUAUCAUCUUUAUCAUAGAGAUCCUGUCUUAUAGCUGUGCCAAAAUGCACUUGUUUGAGCAUGUAACUUCUCAACUUAAAACUUCUCGAGGUUUCUUCAUUGCCUGUAACAUAAAGUCCCAACUACUUAACACAAAAUGCGACAUUUUACCAUGUAGUUUCUCUCAGGAUGAUCUAUUAAAAAACCCCAAAUCUCAUCCUGUUCCUGCUGUAAGCCCUUUAUUGGCUUAAAUCCAAAGUUAUUAACAUGAUAUAAAAAUUUGAUCAUGUCAUCCCUUAAAGUCAAAUUCACACUUCCUAGGACAAUAUAUAAAAUUUGAUCUUAUAACUCCUUUUAAAAUCUUACAGUGUCUCUUAGUUGUAAAUGGAAGAAAAGUCAAAAUUCUUAGCAUAAAAUGUGAAUUUUAUUUUGUAAUUCACUGCAUACUAUUUAUCAAACGCAAAAAACUCACCAGGCCACUCUGUUAGAAAGUUUUAUUGGCUAAAUCAAAUUCCUUGGCAUAUGCAACAGUCUAAUCAUGUUGGAGCCUCAAAAUAAAUUCCAAAUUUCUUUUCAUAUUCGCAAUAUUGAUCAUUUAACUCCUCUGAUUAAAAUCUUUCAACUUUGGUGUCAACAUUAAUCACACCUCCUAGGCAAGCUCUGCAGGUUGAAAUUGGCACUCCCCCAAGAUAGAAAUUCAAAAUGUUUGCGCAUGAUUGUUAAAUUGGUGGCUGUUACUUUUACAAUUUCCAGUGUUUCCUUGUUGCUUGUAAUGUGAAUCCCAAAGCCGUUACCCGUAAAAUAUAUUUUAUCAUGUUUUUCUGCAUACUUAUCUCCCACAAACAAGAAUCUCAUCAUCACAUUUCUUAAAACCCUUUGGCAAAAAUCCAAACUCCUUAGCAUGAUAUAAAACUUUGAUCCUGUCAUCCCUCAAAACAAAGUCCAGAUUUCUUCCCAGGAAACUCAAAUUAUGAAACUCUUGCUUAAAAUCUCAACGUGUUUUCAUCACUACAAAAAGCCUCACCAUUUUAGCAAGGCACCCACUUUUAAUCAUGGCACUCCCAGCUUCAAACCUGUCAAAUUUCAUGUCCUCAACAUAAAAUCUAAAUGCCUGAGCAUGAAAUGAAAAUUGGACCAAUUAUUUCUUACAUUAAAAAUCUUUGGAUUGCUCUUCUCUACUUAAACUAUAAAGCUGAAGUUCUUUUCGCAUGAAACUAGAACUUUUCACCACCUACAGUUUCCAGCUUCCAUUUCCUGUUCCUCACGCUUCUCUCUGAAAAGACUGAGUUUCCCAUUCUCCAGCCUCCAAAUGCAUUUCGAUUUUAUUGUCCCCAAAUGUUUCUUUUCUUUUUUUUGUUUAACCACGUCCCUCUGCCCAUAAUUCAUUAAUUCAUACAGCAGCAUGUCCUGAUUCUUUUUCUGGGCCAGGCACGGUGCUCGAUCCCCAAUGGAAGGAAAUGGAGGCAGACCCAUCUUGCAGGUCAUCACCAGGAAGGAGAUGAGACUCAUGUCCUGGAGACGAAUACCCCACUGGAGGUGAGUGAGGGGCCUUGGAAGCAGGGCCAGGGGGUUCCCUCCACACCUGCUGAGCAUCUGCCUCUCUGGGAGGGCUUUGGGCGUUGUUGGGGCCUGUCGGGCCUCCAAAUUCUGGCUUUAGAUGGGCACUCUGGGAUUCCCAUCUGGCUUCACCUGCCUACCAGCUGGCCUGCCAUAGCCUGGGCCCUGCCUCUUCUCUGCGCUUUGCAGAAAUCAUAUUCUCAGUCCUUCAGCUGUGGCUCAAUACAUGUUGUUCUCAAAUCUCAUGACAGUUUCUUUAAGAAAUAUCUACUGAUUUGAAAAUUCCCGCCUUAUUUGAAAAAAAAAAAAAAAAAAAGAAGCCCAGAAUUUAAUGCUGCUGGUUUGGGGUCACAACUGCCUUUGAGGUCUUCGAAUGGGACCCUCUUCCCCCCAACACUCAAGAGACAGACGCCCCAGCCUCACCACCUUCAGUGCCCAGAGCCUCUGUCGGGUCAGCUCCUUGCUUGCCUCUGAGCCAGUGGCCCAUUGGGUCAGGGCUGCCAACGUGUGUCUAUGAAGGGUUGGGUGUGGGGGGGGCCAUGGGGGGGACAAAUCCCUCAGCAAAUACCUCUCUCUGUCAGCUCGCCUGUACAGUAAAGGAAAUCUGAUUUUAAAAAUAGAGCUUGGAAGAGGAGAUGAGAGGAUAUUUAGGAGCAGAGUUGAGCCUGGGGCGGGGGGCCGGGGUGGGGGAAUUAGGGGAGAGGUGAGGACAGGGGAGGAGGGUGGGAGGCUGGGGGCUGAGGAGGAAGGUGAAGCUGGUGAGGAGUGGGGAGGCUGUGAGGAUGGAAAGGGGAGUAAGGGAGAGGUGGGUUCUCUGGAAUGCUGGCCAUGCCUCCUCUCCUGGCCUCCAGAAACUAGCCCAGUCACACCUGGGGCCCCUGGCUCUCUGGGCUGCCAGGAUGGGUGUCAGGUGAAGAUCCCUGUCCAUCUUGGCCUCCUUGUAGGUGGUGCUCAGAGCUCCUUGGGUUUGAGGGACAUAGCUACUGGGUCUUAGGAGGGAAGUGGCCUCAAAAUGAAUACCCCCAGCAGCUCCCUCUGCUGCCUGGCCUGCUGUGGCCUCCUGUGGAUGGAAGGCACAGCGUCACAGUGAGGGUGGACAUGCAGGGACCCUGGGAGGGUUUGUUAUUAUUUAUCGAUUAUUAUUAUUAUUUAUUUUGUUGAACUCGUGUCAAGGUUAAGAUGUGUCCAUGGCAGCUUGAGGCUUGGAAGCCUUCCUGGUUUCCCUGGUAUGAACAAGUGUCAAGGAUGGCUCACUUGAUGGGACUUGGUGAGGAGGCUGGUGAGAUUCCUGGGGGCUUCCUGAGGGCCUCAUAAGGAGUUUGGGUUGGGUCCUGGGGAUCCCAGUGGACUGUGGAGUCUGCAGGGGCUGCUGGCCUGGCAUAGCUUAUGUUGGAGUCCCUCCCCCCGGGACCCUUCAAUCUUGCACACCCCUGACUUGUGGCUAAAGACGACUUGAGCCUUACAGGGUGGGAGGCCGUUGGCAUCUCGGCCCAGGGCAGCCCAGUCUCGGACAUUCCCUCUCUUCCCCUAUGGUCUGGACCGAGGUCCUUGAAUGCCAGGCCCCAUGGGCCUCGGACUUCAUCGUAGUGAUGGGGAAACUGAGUCUUUGGAAGGAGGAACAGGGAGUUACAGUAGAACUACGCUGUCCCCAGGGCGUGUCUAAAUCCCAAACCACCCAGCAGGGUGGGGGUCUUCUGUAGAGGGACCCCCAGCCCCUCACCUUGCUAAGCCACUGAGGUGACAGGGAGUGCCUGGGCCCAGCAGCGCUCCUGCUGCUGUGUCCCUGCCCCCUCUAUGCUUGACUGGCAGCUCCAGGGGGCAGCUGUAUCACUCUGCCCAGAAUAACCCUGGGAAGGGGCGUGUGCCGCCUGCGGGAGGGGCUGUGCGAGGGGUCACGGGUGAGCUUGUCCUUCUUGUCUUGCCCAAAUCAGCGGGGCCAAUCAGCUGCUCCUGAGGCUGAUCUUGCCUUUCAAGGCAAGUGGGCAGGGACAGGUCUGCACCGGCCUCCUAGCCUAGAUGGGCUCUGACUGUCAACAUGACCUUCCUCUCCCAGGUCCUCAGUUUCCCCAUGUCUGCAGGGAGGGUUUCGGUGGUGGUCUUCUCACUGUGCUCCUGUAGCUCUGGGGUUCCUAAGAGGUGCCUGCGGGGGUCCCUGGGAAACAGUAAUGAGAGGAGGUGGCUGGCCCAACAGGUGGAGCUCAGGGACACCCAUUGCUGCCUUAGUUCCACCAGCUGCUCCUAUAAAUUGGGGUCGUCGUAUUAUUUCAUUUAAACAGAGGUUGCCAGAUCUGAGCAAUGGUUGAAAGCACAGACUAUGUGGUCUCUUCUAAUGGCUUGUCUUGAUUUUCCAACCUGGGCUGGGAGGGGUGUAAGAGUGGAACCUGCUCAUCUCUGGUGGGCUCUCUACUCUCACCCAGUGGGCUGCAUGGACAAGCCCAGGUGGCUGCAGGCCUAGGAGUGGAGCUGUUCUUAGAGUAGGAAGGUGAAGACUUUGAGGCAAACAAGGAGGGCCCCACCUCAGGGCCUGGUGGAACUAGAAUGAGGGCAGAAGGCAGAUGAGAGGCUGGCUAACCUUGCAGAACCUCAGUUUCUAAGGGGAUGAUUAGAAAGGUAGGAGCACCUCCUUCCAGGGAAGACGGGUGUGUGAAGCCCUUUGUAAACUGUAAAUGCUAUGGACAAGUCAGGGAUAGCUACCGUCAUUAGGAUUCUUACGACUGUUACUUCCAGAACACCCACUGUAAUUGUAUGGUCAAGAUUUGGACAGCAUUUCAUGCAUGGUGUCAACUUUAAUUUUCCCGUUAACCCCACAAGGGGACGAUGCCCUGCUUGGAGAGUAAGUAAACUAGAGUCCAGAGGGGUGAAGUGGCUCCUCUGGAACCAUAAUUAUCGGCGACAAUGGUGCACAGACCCAGCAUACAGGACCUUCCCCGGGAGGGGCAGGCUGAUGACUGGAGUUGGUGAGGGGUACGUGCGGAAGACGGAAUGUGACCCAGAAAGGGACGACUAGAAUGUAUUUAUUAAAUACAUUCAAAUGAGUCUCUGAGUACCUGCUCUGUGUCAGGCGUGAUUCUAGCCACUCACCCCUAAAACUGACUUUGCUCCUAACGAGUUGGGGGAUGUGCUGCCGUCUUACAGAGUUAAACUGGGAUUCGGAGGGCGAGGUGCUGGCACAAGGCCCCCGAGAGACAGAGGCAGGGUUUAAAGCCAGGUUUCUCCUGGGCAGGAGCAGAUGCCCAGAGUGGGGUUGGCAGUUGCCAUUUGGGAAACUGUUGGGACCUUCAGAGCCAGAGAUGCCAUCUUCAUUCCAUGGUGUUGAUACUGCCAGCCUCGUGGCCUGAGGGGCAUCCAGACCACAAGAGUGGGGGUCUCAGUGUCUGCCUCCAUCUCCCCCAAAGGUGCUUGCUGUCAUUCCCAACUCAUUCUAGCUUAUUUGGUGUUCGAGGAGGGACAGGACAGCUGGCCCAGGACCUGCUAAUUAUAGCUGCUCAAGUAUUUGAAUAGAGGCCUUGAGUACACACCACCAUGUCAUGGUUUUUUCUUACAGACGAAUGAACACUUUAACCCUUGUCCUGAGUGCCAGGCCAUCCCAUUCACUGCCCCACCUCCCCUGCCUGCCCACCCGAUCCCUGGGGGAGGUCGACAUGGGACCUCUGCCCCACAUCUUACCUUGGCUGCAAGCGUUCAAGUGGAUCUCCUCCCGUCCUGUGCCACUCGAUCCUCGCUGCUUGCUAAAAAGUUAUUGAAUACAUUUGUUUCUUUAAUUGUGAAAGUCCAGUCUUUUUGACAUGCGUACAUUUUCUACAGUAGCAACCACAGUGCACACACACAGUCUUCCAGCCUGCUCUGCUCGCGUGCCUUUCUGUUGUGAGCUUUUUUCCACGUGGCUACGUUGGGGACCUCCGUGAUGCUUCCUGAGUGCUUACUAUGCGCCAAGCGCUGCUUUCACCAUUUUACAGGUUUUCACUCUUUCAAUCGUUCUAAGAAGCUGCGAGGGCCUUCCUUUUAUUAUCCCCAUUUUUCAGAAGAGGAAUCCGAGGCCUUGGGACCUACACCCACCCUCACACCCGGGCCCACGCUCACUUUAAUAACCCGGACUGGGCAAGGACUAAGUCCAGCCAGAGCGUCAGCCUCGCUGGCGUCCUCACUGGCCAUGGCCCUGCAGCCUUGCUCUUCAGUUCCUGGAAGCCUCCUGCCCUUGGUGGACAACCAUUUUGCUCUCUAGCAAAUGGAUAGAAAAGUUUAUGUGAGUCUGGCUGGGCGGGGUGGCUCACACCUGUAAUGCAGCUCGUUGGGUGGCUGAGGCAGGCAGAGCAUUUGAGGUCAGGAGUUCAAGACCAGCCUGGCUGACACCGUGAAACCUUGUCUCUACUAAAAAUACAAAAAUUAGCUGGGUGUGGUGGCGUGCGCCUGUAAUCCCAGCUACUUGGGAGGCUGAGGUAGGAGAAUUACUUGAAUCUGAGAGAUGGAGGCUGCAGUGAGCCGAGAUCAUGCCACUGCACUCCAACCUGGGCGACAGAGUGAAACUCCGUCUCAAAAAAAAAAAAAAAAAGAAAAAAAAAGAAAAGAAAAAAACGUGUAUUUGAGUCUGGGCCCCGGCCUCUGUUGGACUUUGAGUAAAUCUUAAUUUAGCACCCUGAGCUGCAACUCCUUUCUCCUGACCCUGCCACCUGCAUGCGCCAUUCAAGUGGCUGCGCCCCAGGCUGCUCAUCCCUUCCGCCCUGGGUCCCCAUACACAGCAACCCCAUGGGGUUUUUGUCCUGCUCCUUCAUAUUAAUCUGCAUUGGUGACUCCUUUGUCCCAUCUUCCCUCAGCACACAGUAGGGCUGCUGGCAGCAGGUGAGGCCUGGGGCAAGGGCUCAGAGAGGCAAGAUGCCAUUUGGCCAUGCCACCGAGUGAGCAGUUUCUCUUCUUGCCCUCCCAGGUGGCGUGAAGGGGAGAUGGCUGCUUUCUCCUGGGAAGGGAGCAGAUGCCUGGCCCAGGACCAAAUCAAAAGGUCUGAAAAAUGAUAUUCAUUGUCCUAAUGUGUAAAUUUCGACAAUUUGCAAAUUUGUAGAUUCUUUAGAAUAGAACUAACUCAAGCCCUUCAUUCUGCAGCUGAGGCUCACUGCCCCCAGUGGGCAGUGGGUCCAGGGGGUUUCUGAGGACAGGGCAUGACCCAGCCCUGCUGCCCCCAAGAUGGCACCUGGCUUGGAGGGGUGAGGGGCCCUGUUAGUCUGACUUUGAAGAAGACCAGCCUUCCAGACUCGCUUGGUGCCCUGACAGGUAUGUGUGCUCUUCUCUCUCCCACCUAACAGCCCCUUUUGGGAGACAGGGUCUGAGAGGAGUCAGGGUCGUAUAACCUUAACACAGUGUGUUAUCCAAAAACCCACUAACCCUGUUACUCUUGUCUGUCUGCUAUGUGAAACCAAGGGCGGUGUUAAAGUUUAUCACCAUGAUAUACAGAUGUGCGUGGGGACAUCUGGGAUGGGGCUCAGGGGUCUACCUGGAGGUCAGAGAGGGCAGGAUCUGCUUAGGGGAGAUGGAUGACUGUGGGGGUCAGACAGGGCAGGGUUUGCUUAGGGGAGAUGGAUGACUGUGGACAUGUGGCUGUAAAUCAUCCUCCCCGUCUUACAUAGGAUGGGGAUGCAACUUUCAAGAGUUGCCUUGAUUGGUACCUUAAAGGAAAUAAAACAUAAAAUGCUUGGCACAUAGUAGAUGCUCAACACAUGUAGAAAAGGCACUUAUUUUAGGUGGAUCUGCCGCCGAAUGGCCCUUUUGCAAGCUCUUCUCAUUUUUUGGAAUCCAAAGGGAAGGUGUGGGGAGCAGGGUCGGGGUGGAGGGGAAGGACGACGUGAGGUUGCAGAGGGCAUUUUCUUGAGGCAAUGGCAUAUCUUUCAUUGGUACUGGCUGGGUUUAUGCGGACUUUGAGAGGAGUGGAGUGUCUCCAAGUGGGGCUACCCCAGCCUGCAGGUUGGAUGCAGGUAACCUCAGUCUGGGCACUGCAUUUUUAUUUACCAUAAAAAUAUUUCAUAUUUGCUGGGUGUGGUGGCUCACGCUUAUAAUCCCAGCACUUUCGGAGGCCGAGGCCGGUGGAUCACCUGAGGCCAGGAGUUUGAGACCAGCCUGGCCAACAUGGUGAAACCCCGUCUCUACAAAAAUACACAAAAUUAGCUGGGCGUGGUGGUGCAUGCCUGUAGUUCCAGCUACUCAGGAGACUGAGGCAUGAGAAUUGCUCGAACCUGGAAGGCAGAAGUUGCAGUUAGCCGAGAUUGCACCAUUGCACUCCAGCCUGGGUGACAGCAAGACUCCGUCUCAAAAAAAAAAAAAAGAAAGAAAAAUUGCAAAACUAUAGCAAUCACCUCAAGGUUUUCACAGGAAUCAAACUCAGUCCAAACUAAAAUGCUGUGUAAUAAAUAGUGGGGCUUCACGUGCAGGAAAGGCGAUUAAGAGCGAGGCAUGCAGGCCGAGGGCUGCUUAACCUGUCUCAGAUUUCUUCCGCACAAAGUCAUGGUUGAAAAUAGGUCUCUGCCUGGCAGAGGGUAAAGAAGUUCUCGAAGGCCUCUGUCUGCAUUAGCUUGGUGAGAGGGAAGACAUUUAACCAAUUAACCAAUUAGUGAUCUGUGCGGAUGGAGACUGAGCAGGACGAGGGUGCCACCCGACUGGGUGUAAAGUGGGCUUAGUUUUGUCUUCUUGGUGUCUGGGAGCCUCAGUGCCUUUCUACGUAGAUGGGAGUAUGCUUGUCACAUCCUUGUCACACAAGUAACCCUGUGCCUGUUUGAGGAUUCCAAGAGCCUGUGACGGCUGCAGGGGGCCCUGAAGCUUAGUGUGCAAGCAGGAGCUGGGGACAGAGGGGCUUCUGACGGGAGUCGGGGUGCCUCCUCUGGAUGUGGGGGUGGGCUAGGGUGGGCAAAGGUUGCUUCCCGUUCUCCUGCAGCUGACAGUUAGAAAUGCCAGUGCCGUUUAGCCACAGUCCCUCUGGGUUAGAGUCGGGAAGAAACAUGGCAGUUGUGUGUUUUGCACAGGAAUCAAGCUGUCAGGGGGCACAGUGAGGCCCCAGCUCCUUACCAGCAAGCCGUCUAGGCUGCGAACGCGAGCCGCCGGGCCGCAGCUCUCUAGAGGUCCCUGUCCCCACCGCCUGGCCCCAUCUCAUGUCACAUUCCCCCAAGGUCUCAUUCCACUCGGCUAAUCUCCAAGAACACCGGCCAGGGCAUUGGCUUUCGGGUCCUUUUAAAGACCAAAAAGUAAAGCACUCCCCCGUGGGUGCUGGACAGCUUGGGAGGGAUUUGGGGCUGUGGGUGGUGAAAUCACAGCCCUGGGCACACACCUGCCAGCCCGAUGUCACUGACAGGCUGCUCGGAGGCUUGGGGCUCCAGUGAGAGCAUAUAGAUAUUUUUUAAAAAACAUAUUCGCGAUAAAAUAAAUCCCCUGUGUCUGCAGAACUUGCUCUGGGCAUGUACCCACUCCCAAUCCAUCAGGAAACAUGCCCUUUGCUUUGUAUUUGUAAAAACAGAAACAAAAACAAAAACAACCCACAGGCGAACAAGCAAAUUAAAUCCCCCCCACACAAAAUGUUUAUUCUAAUUAUGCAAGAAAUGGAUUGAUAAUUAAUACACGCAUUAGUAAAAAUCAAACACUGCAGAUAAAGCCAUCUUUAAUGCUUCCCUCGAUCCCUCCCCAUCACCCCCCAGCAAAUUAACUGCUCUUCUCAGUUUCAGGCGUCUGGUUCCAGAUAUUUUUUUCUGUGCAUUUGCAUAUGUAGAUAAAUAUACCUCUAAAAUCUAUGACUUUGUUUAUUUUUUACAUAAACUAUAUCAUAGUGUACAUUUCCUCUCGCAGCAGCUUGUGUUUCUUCCUUCAAGAGUCUGCUUAGAGAUAAUAAAGAUCAACACUAUUCCUUAUAACAACACCUCAGUAUCCUGCGAGCUGUACACACCAGAGUUUAUUUAACCACCUUGCUGCUGGCAUGAAAGCCUCAGGAGCCCUGGGCUCCCCCAGUGUUGCCUGGGUCUGACUUUGCCUCAGUGAAAACUGCCUCGAAUUCUUUCUUGCACCGAUGGGCAGAUGGGCAGUGUCGGAGGAUCGUGUCAUCUGUCCCGUGGCGCUGGUUGGCUUGGUCAAGUCAGUGUUCAAACUAUCUCCUGCUCUUUCAAGGGGAUCUGGGGCUCUAGAAGAUUAGAGGACUUGGAGAGGUUAGUGACUUGCUCGAGGUCGGCUAGGAAGCAAGACCCAGGAUUCCAACUCAGGUCUGUGUGAUUCCUCUGCAAAAUGGAGAGGUGGAAGGAUGGAUGUCAGGUCUGAUGGAUGGAUGGAUGCCUACAUCAAGAUACAUGCAUAGAUGGAGAGAUGGCUGGCUACCUCAUGAAUGCUGGACUGUUGUGAGAAUCAAACGAGAUAAUGUAUGCUGAGGCAUGCUGUGAACACUACGUGCUGGGUACAGGAGAAUGGAGGCUCCAGAGUGAAAUUAAUGACACUUUGUCGAUGAAGAUCUUGAUUGUGACCUCUGUGGAAAAUGAGCCAUGAACCAACCAAUAAGCAGGCUUAGUCACCCUUGACACAGUUUGCAGUUAUCCACCUCCUCCAAGUUCUUAAUAUGUUAGAUCCAGAUAACUGCCUUGUACAGCCACCUCCAGGAUACUGCCUCCCUAAAAAACAGCUAGAUACACUGACCCCACAGCCUAUGUGGACCACACAGAUAUAGUGGCUUGCUCUAAAUGCACCAGUGAGAACUCUCUGCAGGAAACCUGCUUGGGAAAUGCCAUAGCCUGCAAUACAGGCUUUCCCCUUCCCGCUGGCCCUGUGAGGCAUGCAGGAUCUGUAAGUAAUAAACUGC